CUAGGAUGACGGGAGCUUGCUCCUUGAUUCAGCGGCGGACGGGUGAGUAAUGCCUAGGAAUCUGCCUGGUAGUGGGGGACAACGUUUCGAAAGGAACGCUAAUACCGCAUACGUCCUACGGGAGAAAGCAGGGGACCUUCGGGCCUUGCGCUAUCAGAUGAGCCUAGGUCGGAUUAGCUAGUUGGUGGGGUAAUGGCUCACCAAGGCGACGAUCCGUAACUGGUCUGAGAGGAUGAUCAGUCACACUGGAACUGAGACACGGUCCAGACUCCUACGGGAGGCAGCAGUGGGGAAUAUUGG
RNAcentral lists this ribosomal RNA (300 nucleotides) under Pseudomonas putida. RNAcentral's name for it is "bacterial SSU rRNA". It matches the Rfam family "Bacterial small subunit ribosomal RNA", at positions 67 to 367 of the family's 1533-position model. The record is from RNAcentral. Lineage: Bacteria; Pseudomonadati; Pseudomonadota; Gammaproteobacteria; Pseudomonadales; Pseudomonadaceae.